RNAcentral lists this ribosomal RNA (253 nucleotides) under uncultured bacterium. RNAcentral describes it as "partial 16S ribosomal RNA". It matches the Rfam family "Bacterial small subunit ribosomal RNA", at positions 524 to 776 of the family's 1533-position model. The record is from RNAcentral.
UACGUAGGGCGCAAGCGUUAUCCGGAAUUAUUGGGCGUAAAGAGCUCGUAGGCGGUUUGUCGCGUCUGCCGUGAAAGUCCGGGGCUUAACCCCGGAUCUGCGGUGGGUACGGGCAGACUAGAGUGCAGUAGGGGAGACUGGAAUUCCUGGUGUAGCGGUGAAAUGCGCAGAUAUCAGGAGGAACGCCGAUGGCGAAGGCAGGUCUCUGGGCUGUAACUGACGCUGAGGAGCGAAAGCAUGGGGAGCGAACAGG